This 1464-nucleotide long non-coding RNA is filed under the name Canis lupus familiaris (dog). Its description in RNAcentral is "lncRNA (ENSCAFG00845022025.1)". The record is from RNAcentral. Lineage: Eukaryota; Metazoa; Chordata; Mammalia; Carnivora; Canidae.
GGGUGGGCGGAGCGGGAGGCUGGGUGGUGGGGCCGCGGGGGGUCAGGGCGGCGGCCGAGCGUCCCCUGGAGCGGAGCCCCGCCGGCCAGGUGCUUCCCCGGAGCCGGCGCCGGAGCCGGAGCCCCGCCCGCCGCCCUCCUGGCGCCUCGGGGGCGGGAGCGGGGCGUCGAGGGUCCGGGCUCGCCGCUGGGGCCGCGGCCGGCAGGGUCGGUCGCUUCGCUGCUGCCGGGGAGCGGCCGUGGCGCGAACGCACCGCUCUCCCCGAAGUCGCGGCGACGCCCGCCCCGGCGCGCAGCCCGCCUCGGGCUCGGUGGAGGUGGGGCCGCCCGUCAGCCGGCGGCGUCCUGGGGAGGCGGGCGCUGGGCCGCGCGAGCCCCGGGCGGCGGGGCUUCCCCGGGGAGAGCCCGCUGCGGGGCUGGGCGCCGAGGGCCCCCGGCGGCCCGGGGCUGGCGGCGCGGGGCGGCAGCGGGGCGGCAGCGGGGCCGGCGCGGCCCCGGGCCCAGGGCGGUCCUCGCGGCGUGUCCCCGGGCCGUCUGCGAAGGACGCGCCGAGGACCCGCCGGGCCGCCCCGAGACCCGAGUUCCCGGCCGCGGCCUGGCGCCCGUCGCCAGCUGCGUGCUUCGGGCGAGUCCUCCUCGGCGCCGCCUCAGCCGCAGGCCACGCGCCCGCCCACCGCGAGGCUCUGAGGAGCGCCGGAGACGCCGCGUGUCGUCUGGAAGCCGUAGGAGGACUAUUGAAUUAUUAUCAUCAUUUUAAAACCAUAAAGUGCAGAUAAGUCUAAAGAAGAAAGCAAAAACCCCGUGAUUCCAUCAGAGAGACCACUACCAAGUUUUGGGUGCUUAUCUGCCAAACUUAGGUACGUGAGGGUCUGUGUGCAUGUGUACACAUGUGUGUUUCUCUUUACAAAAUUGGGAUUCUCAUGCAUACACUGUUUUAUAACCUGGUCGAUUUCUUUCCUUGGAAUGUUUAAAUGCAUUUCAAAACAGGAGAGGAAAAUUUUUAAAAUUUUUAAAAUUUAAAAUUUUUAAAAAGACACAACAUGCCUGACCUGGUAACUUGUAUCCCCCAUGACUUGUGUGUCGUGCACCAGAAGUCACCUUUUACAAAUGGCAAUUUUUUAAAAGAUUUAAUUUAUUUAUUCAUGAGAGAGAGGCAGAGACAGAGGGAGAAGCAGGCUCCAUGAAGGGAACCCAAUGUGGGACUCCAUCCGGGAUCCCGGGGUCAUGACCUGAGCCGAAGGCAGACGCUCAACCGCUGAGCCACCCAGGCGUCCCAGAAACUGCAAUUAUUUCGCGCUUUUGCAAACCUGUAAUACGUCUGUGAUGUCCCUGAUGUUCUGGGAGCCCUACAGAUGCCUCUGAGUUUCCCAAGACUAGCCAAGUUGAACCUCAGUUUUGGUGUGUGAUGCCCUCAGGUGUCUAGAUAUCACUAAUCCCUGGAAGACGUGCAUUGGAAUCCUCAGUC